CAGGAGCCGUCAGUGGGCGGUCUGGCUUCCAGCCUGCUGCAGGGCCUCGAGGUUGAGCCAGACUACACAAGCGCUUGGACGGAACGGCCCUGAGUGCCCAUUCAUUCACCUCCCAUAUGGGAGAACGUCUGAGGGAGGAAGGAAACCGAGUGGGACAUGUGGAGGAGUGGGAGAGCGGAACAAAGACAAAGAGGCAGAAGUAUCCAUAUUUUAAGAAGAAAGGGUGAGUGGGAGGACACUUUUCAUGCCUUCACCCGUUACUAUGGAAGUCAGGUUCAUUAGUGACAACACUGAAAAUCUUUCUUUGUGCUUAAUAAAGAUUCAGUUGACAGUUGAAAA
This is a long non-coding RNA of Solea senegalensis (Senegalese sole), 339 nucleotides long. RefSeq lists it as uncharacterized. The record is from RefSeq and is a predicted model, not a curated record. Lineage: Eukaryota; Metazoa; Chordata; Actinopteri; Pleuronectiformes; Soleidae. The transcript is spliced from 2 exons.